Molecule: ribosomal RNA, 252 nt
Filed under: uncultured bacterium
Lineage: Bacteria
Description: partial 16S ribosomal RNA
Rfam family: Bacterial small subunit ribosomal RNA
Source: RNAcentral
UACAGAGGUCUCAAGCGUUGUUCGGAUUCAUUGGGCGUAAAGGGUGCGUAGGCGGCGCGGUAAGUCGGAUGUGAAAUCUCGGAGCUUAACUUCGAAACUGCAUUCGAUACUGCCGUGCUUGAGGACUGGAGAGGGACUGGAAUUUACGGUGUAGCGGUGAAAUGCGUAGAUAUCGUAAGGAAGACCAGUGGCGAAGGCGGGUCUCUGGACAGUUCCUGACGCUGAGGCACGAAGGUCAGGGGAGCAAACGGG